Molecule: non-coding RNA, 66 nt
Organism: Cordylochernes scorpioides
Lineage: Eukaryota; Metazoa; Arthropoda; Arachnida; Pseudoscorpiones; Chernetidae
Source: the annotation of a GenBank genome assembly
UGCAUCGGCCGGGAAUCAAACCCGGGCCACCCGCAGGCGAGCAUUCUACUACUGAACCACCGAUGG